RNAcentral lists this non-coding RNA (102 nucleotides) under Gracilibacter sp. RNAcentral's name for it is "TPP sequence". It matches the Rfam family "TPP riboswitch aptamer (THI element)". From Rfam's summary of the family: Vitamin B(1) in its active form thiamin pyrophosphate (TPP) is an essential coenzyme that is synthesised by coupling of pyrimidine and thiazole moieties in bacteria. The previously detected thiamin-regulatory element, thi box was extended, resulting in a new, highly conserved RNA secondary structure, the THI element, which is widely distributed in eubacteria and also occurs in some archaea. Analysis of operon structures identified a large number of new candidate thiamin-regulated genes, mostly transporters, in various prokaryotic organisms. Lineage: Bacteria; Bacillati; Bacillota; Clostridia; Eubacteriales; Gracilibacteraceae. The record is from RNAcentral.
AAAAAAAGCUAGGGGUGCCGCAAGGCUGAGAGAGAUUCACAUCUCAACUCUUUGAACCUGAUGUAGUUAGUACUACCGUAGGGAGAGCAUGUAACAAUUUAU